UUAAAAACUUUAGCGCCAUGUACCAAUUCUAGAAUUGGUUGACGAGGUUCCAAGUUAUCGAAUUAUUCGGCGGAUGCUUGGACGUUUUUAUAUGGGAACGCAUGUAGCAACAAAAUAAGGGGGUAACCUUUUAACAAAAAACUACAUCCAUAUAAAU
Molecule: non-coding RNA, 157 nt
Filed under: Lachnobacterium bovis
Lineage: Bacteria; Bacillati; Bacillota; Clostridia; Lachnospirales; Lachnospiraceae
Also listed under: 1 other name
Description: GlcN6P sequence
Rfam family: glmS glucosamine-6-phosphate activated ribozyme aptamer
About the family: This entry contains a glucosamine-6-phosphate activated ribozyme that is found in the mRNA for GlmS.
Source: RNAcentral